UUUUAAACGUGCACAAUAGAGCAUCUGGAACCAAGAACAGCCUAAAAACACCAAAUAUAUCAACCAGAUCCAUGAAGCUGCCAGGACAUGCUAAAAAGCAAAGCAUACCACCCAGCUACUUAUUCUGACAAUCAGGGAUUUUAACUGCAUUGUUGCAGUUAAUUCAAUGCAUUUAUAUAGUAAUUAUGCAUGUGAUCUGCCAUAUCAAGAAAGCCACAGAAAGUACUUGAACAUUUAAGCAACACUUAA
This is a long non-coding RNA of Sinocyclocheilus anshuiensis, 249 nucleotides long. RefSeq lists it as uncharacterized. NCBI's taxonomy places the organism in Eukaryota, Metazoa, Chordata, Actinopteri, Cypriniformes, Cyprinidae. The record is from RefSeq and is a predicted model, not a curated record. The transcript is spliced from 3 exons.